This 447-nucleotide ribosomal RNA is filed under the name uncultured bacterium. Its description in RNAcentral is "bacterial SSU rRNA". It matches the Rfam family "Bacterial small subunit ribosomal RNA", at positions 330 to 792 of the family's 1533-position model. The record is from RNAcentral.
CCCAGACUCCUACGGGAGGCAGCAGUGGGGGAUAUUGCACAAUGGGGGAAACCCUGAUGCAGCGACGCCGCGUGGGCGAAGAAGUAUUUCGGUAUGUAAAGCCCUAUCAGCAGGGAAGAAGAAAUGACGGUACCUGAGUAAGAAGCACCGGCUAAAUACGUGCCAGCAGCCGCGGUAAUACGUAUGGUGCAAGCGUUAUCCGGAUUUACUGGGUGUAAAGGGAGCGCAGGCGGCACGGCAAGCCUGAUGUGAAAGCCCGCGGCCCAACCGCGGGACUGCAUUUGAAACUGUCAAGCUGGAGUGCAGGAGAGGUAAGUGGAAUUCCUAGUGUAGCGGUGAAAUGCGUAGAUAUUAGGAGGAACACCAGUGGCGAAGGCGGCUUACUGGACUGUAACUGACGUUGAGGCUCGAAAGCGUGGGGAGCAAACAGGAUUAGAUACCCGAGUA